This 94-nucleotide small nuclear RNA is filed under the name Rhodnius prolixus. Lineage: Eukaryota; Metazoa; Arthropoda; Insecta; Hemiptera; Reduviidae. The record is from RNAcentral.
GUUGGCUUCGGCGGUACAUAUACUAAAAUUGGAACGAUACAGAGAAGAUUAGCAUGGCCCCUGCGAAAACAAUUUGGAAUUGUAAUUAUCGUUA